This 222-nucleotide long non-coding RNA is filed under the name Carica papaya (papaya). Its description in RNAcentral is "long non-coding RNA (CPAP_LNC000421)". The record is from RNAcentral. Lineage: Eukaryota; Viridiplantae; Streptophyta; Magnoliopsida; Brassicales; Caricaceae.
UCUUCAAGAACAAGUGUAUCGAUGAGGUUACUUGGGAGGUUUCCUCAACCUCCUUAUUGCAUAGCUAAUUGGUUUAACUUAUCAAGAAAACUCUUACGGUGUUUUAAUCGAUUCUUUUUUAUCCCAACUACCUUAAUUUCAAUUACAAGUUGAUUAUGAGUUAAAUAUUGAGAGUUUAUUUUAUAUUAAGUUUCUAUGUUAACUAUGCAUGUGUAUAUUCAU